ACGUAGGGGGCAAGCGUUGUCCGGAAUUACUGGGUGUAAAGGGAGCGCAGGCGGAGAAGCAAGUCAGUGGUGAAAACGAUGGGCUUAACUCAUCGACUGCCAUUGAAACUGUUUCCCUUGAGUGAAGUAGAGGCAGGCGGAAUUCCGAGUGUAGCGGUGAAAUGCGUAGAUAUUCGGAGGAACACCAGUGGCGAAGGCGGCCUGCUGGGCUUUAACUGACGCUGAGGCUCGAAAGUGUGGGGAGCAAACAG
RNAcentral lists this ribosomal RNA (251 nucleotides) under uncultured bacterium. RNAcentral's name for it is "partial 16S ribosomal RNA". It matches the Rfam family "Bacterial small subunit ribosomal RNA", at positions 525 to 775 of the family's 1533-position model. The record is from RNAcentral. RNAcentral also lists the same sequence under 1 other name.